Scophthalmus maximus (turbot) is the source of this 71-nucleotide non-coding RNA. The record is from Ensembl. NCBI's taxonomy places the organism in Eukaryota, Metazoa, Chordata, Actinopteri, Pleuronectiformes, Scophthalmidae.
AAGAAAAUGGCAGAGCGGUCAUGCGGUUGGCUUGAAACCAGCUAAUGGGGGUUCAACUCCUCCUUUUCUCG